RNAcentral lists this ribosomal RNA (679 nucleotides) under Enterobacter cloacae. RNAcentral describes it as "bacterial SSU rRNA". It matches the Rfam family "Bacterial small subunit ribosomal RNA", at positions 57 to 721 of the family's 1533-position model. Lineage: Bacteria; Pseudomonadati; Pseudomonadota; Gammaproteobacteria; Enterobacterales; Enterobacteriaceae. The record is from RNAcentral.
UGCAGUCGAGCGAUAACAAUGAAGAACUUGGUCUGCUUUGCUGACGAGUGGCGGACGGGUGACUAAUGUCUGGCAUGCUGCCUGAAGUGGGAUGAUUCCUACUGGAAGCGGCUACUACUACCGCAUAACGUGAACCGACCAAAGAGGGGGACCUUCGGGCCUCUUGCCAUCGCAUGCGCCCGGAUGCGAUUAGCUAUAAGGAGGUGUAACGGCUCCCCUAGGCCACGAUCCCUAUGUGGACUGAAACGAUGACCAGCCUCACUGGAACUGAGACACGGUCCCGACUCCUACUCCAGGCAGAGGUGGGGAAUAUUGCUCAAUGGGCGCGAGCCUGAUGCUGACAUGCCGCGGGCAUGAGAAAGGCCUUCGGUUUGUAAUGUACUUUCUCUGGUGAGGAAGGAGAUCAGGUGACUAACCUUGACGAUUGACCCUACCCGCAGACUAACCACCGGCUAACUCCGAGCCACCAGCCGCGAUACUACGGAGGACGCAAGCGUUAAUCGGAAUUACUGGUUGUAGAGCGCACGCAGGUCGCCUGUCAAGUCUUAUGUGAGAUCCCCGGGCUCCCGCUGCGAACUGCAUUCGACACUGGCAGGUUAGAGUCUUGUAUGGGGAGGAAGAAUUCCAGGUGCCGCGUGGAAAUGCGUAGAGAUCUGAAGAUGAUACCGGAAGACCAAUG